UCUGGGCUAGCUCAGUCGGUAGAGCAUGAGACUUAAUCUCAGUGUCAUGGGUUUGUGCCCCAUGUUGGGUG
This 71-nucleotide transfer RNA is filed under the name Antrostomus carolinensis (chuck-will's-widow). RNAcentral's name for it is "Caprimulgus carolinensis (chuck-will's-widow) tRNA". It matches the Rfam family "tRNA". Rfam says of the family: Transfer RNA (tRNA) molecules are approximately 80 nucleotides in length. Their secondary structure includes four short double-helical elements and three loops (D, anti-codon, and T loops). The record is from Rfam by way of RNAcentral. Lineage: Eukaryota; Metazoa; Chordata; Aves; Caprimulgiformes; Caprimulgidae.